CGGACCUCUCGCUAUCAGAUGACGCCCAUGUCAGUAUUAGCUUGGUUGGUGAAGGUAAAGGCUCACAAGGCGACGAUCUGUAACUGGUCUGAGAGGAUGAUCAGUCACACUGGAACUGAGACACGGUCCAGACUCCUACGGGAGGCAGCAGGUGGGGAAUAUUGGACAAUGGGGGCAACCCUGAUCCAGCCAUGCCGCGUGUGUGAAGAAGGCCUUCGGGUUGUAAAGCACUUUCAGUGGGGAGAAAGGUUAUUCACCUAAUACGUGAGUAAAUUGAUGUUACCCACAGAAGAAGCACCGGCUAACUCCGUG
This 312-nucleotide ribosomal RNA is filed under the name uncultured bacterium. Its description in RNAcentral is "bacterial SSU rRNA". It matches the Rfam family "Bacterial small subunit ribosomal RNA", at positions 207 to 507 of the family's 1533-position model. The record is from RNAcentral.